GCUUUUUGAGAAUAAGAAUAAAGCAAUAAACAAGUUUGUAUUUCAAUAUGUUGUCAAUGAUAUUUCGUGUCCUUACAAAUGAUGAGACUUCUUCCUUUUAUAGUCGAUUCUGGGUAAAGGAAUGAAACUUCAGCUUUAAUGAGACAAUUAUGAGUAAUAAAUGACACUAAAUAAGCCGUUACACAAUCAUUCUCAAUAAAUACUGAUUUUUCAACGUAUUGGAUAUUUGAUACUGAAUUUGGACUCCUUUUAAUCUUCAGAUCCAUCUCUUUAGUGCCUUUUGAUCUGUUAGCCUUAAAUGACUUGAAUUGGUACGAGACUCAUGUCUAAACUCCUUCUCGUGCCUGUUUAACUUUCUCUUCCCGUAUUUGUCAUCUCCCGUGUCGUUUACUCAAUUGUUACACUUUGACUACUUGACCAGUCUACGUGUCACGCUACGUCAUCUUUAAUUUAAAUUCUAUUUUUUCCCAAUACACUUUCCCUUAAGAACCACGUGCAAAUCACGUGUUAUGUCUCUGUUAGGUUUUUAACGGGAGUGAG
Molecule: long non-coding RNA, 540 nt
Filed under: Nicotiana benthamiana
Lineage: Eukaryota; Viridiplantae; Streptophyta; Magnoliopsida; Solanales; Solanaceae
Description: long non-coding RNA (NBEN_LNC023574)
Source: RNAcentral